This 370-nucleotide ribosomal RNA is filed under the name uncultured organism. RNAcentral's name for it is "bacterial SSU rRNA". It matches the Rfam family "Bacterial small subunit ribosomal RNA", at positions 526 to 896 of the family's 1533-position model. The record is from RNAcentral.
CGGAGGGUGCGAGCGUUGUCCGGAAUCACUGGGCGUAAAGGGCGCGUAGGCGGCCUGAUAAGUAGGGGGUGAAAUCCUGCGGCUUAACCGCAGGGCUGCCUUCUAAACUGUCAGGCUAGAGCACGGUAGAGGCAGAUGGAAUUCCCGGUGUAGCGGUGAAUGCGUAGAGAUCGGGAAGAACAUCAGUGGCGAAGGCGGUCUGCUGGGCCGUUGCUGACGCUGAGGCGCGACAGCGUGGGGAGCAAACAGGAUUAGAUACCCUGGUAGUCCACGCCGUAAACGAUGGACACUAGGCGUCGGGGGGAGCGACCCUCCCGGUGCCGUCGCUAACGCAGUAAGUGUCCCGCCUGGGGAUACGGCCGCAAGGCUG